GUCCUUAGUUACCAGCACGUUAUGGUGGCGACUCUAAGGAGACUGCCGGUGGCAAACCGGAGGAAGGUGGGGAUGACGUCAAGUCAUCAUGGCCCUUACGGCCUGGGCUACACACGUGCUACAAUGGUCGGUACAAAGGGUUGCCAAGCCGCGAGGUGGAGCUAAUCCCAUAAAACCGAUCGUAGUCCGGAUCGCAGUCUGCAACUCGACUGCGUGAAGUCGGAAUCGCUAGUAAUCGUGGAUCAGCCAAGCCGCGGUGAAUACGUUCCCGGGCCUU
RNAcentral lists this ribosomal RNA (277 nucleotides) under uncultured Pseudomonas sp. RNAcentral's name for it is "partial 16S ribosomal RNA". It matches the Rfam family "Bacterial small subunit ribosomal RNA", at positions 1107 to 1382 of the family's 1533-position model. Lineage: Bacteria; Pseudomonadati; Pseudomonadota; Gammaproteobacteria; Pseudomonadales; Pseudomonadaceae. The record is from RNAcentral.